Molecule: ribosomal RNA, 467 nt
Filed under: uncultured bacterium
Lineage: Bacteria
Description: partial 16S ribosomal RNA
Rfam family: Bacterial small subunit ribosomal RNA
Source: RNAcentral
GACGAACGCUGGCGGCGUGCUUAACACAUGCAAGUCGAACGGAAAGGCCCUGCUUUUGUGGGGUGCUCGAUUGGCGAACGGGUGAGUAACACGUGUGUAACCUGCCCUUGACUUUGGGGUAACUUCUGGAAACUGGGGCUAAUACCGGAUAGGAGCUCCUGCUGCAUGGUGGGGGUUGGAAAGUUUCGGCGGUUGGGGAUGUACUCGCGGCUUAUCAGCUUGUUGGUGGGGUAGUGGCUUACCAAGGCUUUGACGGGUAGCCGGCCUGGGAGGGUGACAGGCCACAUUGGGACAGAGAUAGGGCCCAGACGCCUACGGGAGGCAGGAGUGGGGAAUAUUGGAAAAAGGGCGGAGGCAGGAGGGAGCAACGCCGCGUGCGGGAUGACGGCCUUCGGGUGGGAAACCGCUUUCGAGUGUGACGAAGCGUGAGGGCGGGAAAUGGGUAAAGAAGCACGGGCAACCUACGG